ACAAAUGUGCCCUCCCAGUGGAGGCUGUUGAUGGGACACUUGUUCUGAUAGUUAAUGAAUAUGUAUGUGACUCCUUCACAGGGUGUGGUGGGUGACGUGGGGGAGAGGGGACCCCCUGGUCCUGAUGGCAAAGAGGGGCCUGUUGGUGGGACUGGCAUUGCCGGCUUUCCGGGAUUGAGGGGGGACAUUGGGCCUGAGGGACCGCGAGGACUGCCUGGUUUUAUGGGACCUCAGGUAUGUUUUCUAUUAUAUUCCAGAAAAUAGUGUUUAGUGCUGCGGAAUAUGACUGACUUAUUCUGUUUGUGCUGCAUGUUAUCAACACAUCAUUGUAAACAUGUCAAGAUAUUAACAGAUAAUGAACUGUGAGAAGUGAGGGGAAGCAUUGACAGUGUCCGUUUUCAUGGGUUCCUCUUUGUCGUCAUGGUUUCACUCACUCUGCAGAUCCUAGAGGGGAAUACUGUCAAAGGAGUCAGUGUUUCCUCCCAUAAAUCCCCUUUUCUCUCUCUCUAAUUGACCAAUUCUUGCGUCUUCCUUCUUGUCUUCCUUUCUUCCUGAUCUGUGGCAGGGCCCAGCGGGACGAGCCGGCCUGCCUGGAUUGAAAGGUGAUAAGGUGAUCUAAAUAUUUACAUUAUUGCAGUUUGUCUGUAGUCUGCCAGUCGCUAAAUUCACAUCAUUGGGUGUAUUCAAAUAUCCUGUGGACCUUUUUUUUAACCAAAAAAAAAAAAAACUGAAUCUGAGUUUAGAUUCGGUUAAACAGCAAGAGAGAAACUAAAACCUCAGUCAUUUGUAUUGGUUCUUUGCAGUGUUACCAUUAAUUACCAUGAUUUUUUUUAAUAUCUUAAAUGAACAUUCUUACCAUCUUGCCCUGACAGUGACCAGCUGUUACAUAUGAAUAUGUACUCUACUGUACAUACAGUUAUGGUCAAAAUUGUUACCCCUUUAGAUGCUGCAGUGGUUUUCAUGGAAGGAAAAAGUUUUUAGUUUUUGGGUGAUUUUCCUUGAAUGCCAGAGAUUUAGGAAAUAAUAUUUGAGCCAAAGUAACCCUUGAUGUAUCUGGGAACCAAACAAAUGCACCACCCAGAUGCCCAAACAGCCCCAGAACAGCCCAUGAUAGCAGAGCAGAGUUGUAGUCGGAGGUUUUCUUUGGGUCUUGGUGGUUCAUUUUGACCUUAACUGUGCCUCUUUUGUGUCUUCAGUGUCCUGUAUGGUUGAGUUUGUCGAGGAUUUUCUUCAGUUAACACAAAGUCAAAAUGCUGCUUUUAAGAGUUUAAUAAGUCAGUCAGAACACAUGCAACAACAGCAUGCAGAGAGAUCUCUGCCCAGUGUAACAAACAUGUCCCCUUUAUAAUGCUUAGCAACUAUGCCUUUCUCUCAGUACUUUUCCAUCUACUUACUUCAUUGUCACAAGGUUAGCAUGAUAAACUGUGGCAUUUUGAAGGUUGCUGACUCGCACAUCUUCAUUAUUUUCUGAGGAGUCUUUGUUCUAGAACUCGUGACACCUCGUACACCUGCACAAGCAUCAUCGAAUGAACUUGCUUGACCAUACUGGUUUAAAUGAUCUAUGCUAAACAAAAAUAAUUUCUUUACAUGUUGCACUCUAUGGCAGGGCAGUGUUGUGUUAUAUCUCUGUGAUACUGUGAAAUUCAGGGUGAAGUAGGAAACCAAGGAGAGCCGGGAGAAAUGGGAUACCAAGGCGAUAAGGUGAGCCUGAAAAACUGACUGUUUCAUGUCUUUUUUGUCGCAGUUAAUCUAGAAUUUUCCCAGAAUCAGAAAUACUUUGGCUGGAAUGAAGAAAGGCUCGAUCAAAUGGAAAAAAACAAAAAAUGUGCAUGAUGCACCUUUUGCCUGUAUUUUUCAGGGUGUUGUUGGUUUGCCUGGUCCUGCAGGGCCAAUCGGACAUCCAGGACCGCCGGUAUGUUCAUGCAAACAUGCACUGAUGUGAAAGUGUCUAUUUGUGCAUUUGUAUCUGCAGGUAAAUGCAUAUUUGCAUUUGAUUUUACAUUCACAGCACAUCAGCAAUACUGGAUUACAUCUCAACUACUAAAUAAGCCUUGAAGCACAUAUGACGUGAUAAAACAGGCUAGAGAAAUUAUAUCGCAAAAUUAGUAUCAUCAGCAUUUUUCUUCUCUUUAUAAGGGAAAAAUUGGCGAUAUUGGUGCACAAGGGCCACCUGGGCCUCCGGGACCAGAGGUAGGACUCAGAUCUGCAUAUUUUAAUAUGAUUCAUUAGCAAUUUACACACUGUCCUCAAGG
Molecule: long non-coding RNA, 2252 nt
Filed under: Takifugu rubripes (torafugu)
Lineage: Eukaryota; Metazoa; Chordata; Actinopteri; Tetraodontiformes; Tetraodontidae
Description: lncRNA (ENSTRUG00000032991.1)
Source: RNAcentral